Molecule: long non-coding RNA, 1064 nt
Organism: Ictalurus punctatus (channel catfish)
Lineage: Eukaryota; Metazoa; Chordata; Actinopteri; Siluriformes; Ictaluridae
Exons: 3
Source: RefSeq, a predicted model, not a curated record
GUAAAGCUCUUGUGGAAGUAACACCAACCGUCAUGCUUGUGACUUAUUUCUCCUCUAUAUAGAUGGGGGACAACAUUUUGGAGGCACCGCUGGGAUUGCUGCUCAGAUGUCCAGUGUCCACCGCCUGUACAUUGAAGAUAUUGGAGACUUUUUUCAUGUGGCACUUCCCCAUAUGGGUAACAAAAAGGUGGUUAAAGCGGCGUUGUAUGAGGCACUUGUGGCUCAACAGGUCAUACCUAAGUGCAAAGCGCUUUCGGGCGUUGCUGUGCAGCCUAUGCAGCUUACGUAGCCUACCCAGUAUCUACCGGUUACCGGCAGGGGAGAGGCCAUGACUGAGCUGGAGGAUAAGGUUCUUGCAGGUCGUAAACAGCCUGUCUGGCGCAGUGGACCCCGGUUGGCAACUAGCGCUAAAAGAGCUUGAGUUGGAGCUACUGCGAGUUCGGGAGCUGGACGCUGAAGAGAGAAGGCUCAACCUGGCAGCUCAGCAGCGGAAGCCUGUGCCCUGCCACGGAAGUUUAACUCCCCGAGAGCAACCUCCCUGUAUUCCGUUGACUCGGAGCACUCCAGCCCGCAGCCUACUCCAGUGCCGUCCUCAUCGUAGGGUCUUGAUCGAGACUUGUUCUGCUGGGGCCUGCAUUAUGUGCUCGCUGUUGUAUCAUCUCCAGUUCUGUAGCAAAAGGACCACCACUCAUGGGGCUGGUUGGGGUUGCUUCCAGUAUGCUGGCCUUCCAGGAAUACAAGCGUUCUCAUAUAGAAGUCACCUGGCCAUUUGUUGCAACUUCCAUGAGGAGAAAGAACCGUGCCAGUGUGCAGUGCUAUCUCAUUAGUGUCUGUUGAAUUUCCUGAUUAUUUCUUCAAAUUGUGACAUCUAAACUGCAUUUACUGUAACUUGAACACCACUUUAACAGACUAAAAUCAUGUUUUGUUACUCUUCUGAUACCAGUUGUCAUUUUUGUGGUGUGUGUGUGUGUGUGUGGGUAAUGUGGCAGCCAAAACAAGACAACCGGAAUGCACUUAGCUCAGGUAUUUAGUGAAAAUCUUUGUGCAGUACAGGUAAGGUUUAU